GUUCCUGGCUCAGGAUGAACGCUGGCGGCGUGCCUAACACAUGCAAGUCGAGCGAUUCUCUUCGGAGAAGAGCGGCGGACGGGUGAGUAACGCGUGGGUAACCUGCCCUAUACACACGGAUAACAUACCGAAAGGUAUGCUAAUACGAGAUAACAUAAGAGAUUCGCAUGGAUUUCUUAUCAAAGCUUUUGCGGUAUAGGAUGGACCCGCGUCUGAUUAGCUAGUUGGUAAGGUAACGGCUUACCAAGG
This 249-nucleotide ribosomal RNA is filed under the name uncultured bacterium. RNAcentral's name for it is "partial 16S ribosomal RNA". It matches the Rfam family "Bacterial small subunit ribosomal RNA", at positions 15 to 273 of the family's 1533-position model. The record is from RNAcentral.